RNAcentral lists this long non-coding RNA (17489 nucleotides) under Capsicum annuum. RNAcentral describes it as "long non-coding RNA (CANN_LNC005478)". Lineage: Eukaryota; Viridiplantae; Streptophyta; Magnoliopsida; Solanales; Solanaceae. The record is from RNAcentral.
CAUGUUUUAUUACGAAUCUGUGUGCUUUCCUCUGCUUUCCUCUGUUUUAUAUUACUUAUGGGUGCGGUAUUUAUGUUAUGUAAUCUGCUUCUGUGCUUUACUAUGUGUUUGUGUGGUAUCUCGUGCCUUGAGCCGGGGGUCUAUCGAAAACAGCCUUUCUACUUCUUUAGAGGUAGAGGUAUAGACUGCGUACAUCUUACCCCCCAGACCCCACUAGGUGGGAAUACACUGGGUUUGUUGUUGUUGUAUGUAUUUCAAAAAUCCAACUUUCUUUGUGGGUGAUUCACUUAGUUAAAAAUAUAAUAGCAAUAAUACUCCAUAUACAACAUGGUAAAAUAAUCGGAUUAUAUAUACACAUACAUAUAUAGAGAGAUAAAUAUAGAUAUAGAUAUAGAUAUAGAUAUAUGAAAAAUAAACUUAUAAAAAUUGUGAAUGAAAAGAAACGACUUUUGUAAAGCAAUUAAUACCUGCAAGAUUAUUUUGCUAGAACAUCUCACUACAUAAACCAAUAAAAAUGGUCACAAAAAAUUAUUAAAAAAAUAGCACUAAAAAUAUGUAGCAGUAACAAUAUGAAUUAUGAUACAUAUAACAUAAAUGCAGUUAUUUAUGAGUAAAUACAUAAUUAUCUCCCUGAUCUUGUCCGAGAUUUAUAAAAAGACACCUAAAUUUUAACUUCGACUUAUUACUACACGAUUCUUUUUUAUUUCGUUGCAAACACACGUGUAAAAUAAUUUAAUAUAUAAUUUAUAUUUUUUAAAAAAAAAAUAUUUAUUUAUUUUUAAAAUUAUUCCUACCCCCUCUUCGCCCUCCAACCCACCCACUCUUUCUAUUUCAACUCAAUUCACCAUUAAAGCUUCCAUUAAAGCUUUUUUUUUUUUUUUAAAUCAUUCAUUAAAGCUCCAUUUUACAACUAAAUCAUUUCAUUUAACUACCUACCAUUUCUUCUUCAACACAAUAUCUUCUUCAACACUAUUAAAUCUCUUCAACACAAUAUCCCCAUUAAAGCUGCUCCAUUGAAGCUUUUUUUUUUUUAAAUCAUAUCAUUAAAGCUCAAUUUUUCAAUCAAAUCAUAUCAUUUAACUAUCUUUAAAACUCAAUUCAAUCAUAAAACUCUCAAUUCAAUCAUAAAACUAUUUUUUGAAUUGAUUUGGAAAAAAAAAUGGACGGGGAGAGAGAAUGGUGACAGAGUGAGGGGUUUGGGGUGCUUGGGGGAGAUGUUGAUGGGGUGGGGGUGUUGGACGGGGGUGGGGGUGCUGAAUGAGGGUGGGGAGUGGAGGAGAGCUGUUGGGAGGGGAGUUGUAAGAUGGGGUGGAGUGGGGGAAGAGAGGGUGGGGUGUUAAAUUAAAUAAAAAGUAAACUUUUAUUUAAAAAACAAAAAAAUAUAUAAAUUAAACGUAUUUGACACGUGGCAGUACCUGAUUGACGCGUGUAUUUCACUCUCCUUGUUGUGACUGAGAUUCAGCGAAAAAUGAUGUGUUUGCAACGAAAUAAAAAAGAAUCGUGGGGUAAUAGGUCGAAUUCAAAGUUUAGGUGUCUUUUUGAAAAUCUCGGCCAACAUCAGUAGGGUAAUUAUGAAUUUACUCUUUAUUUAUUGUUGUUGGUCACAAACAAAUAUAAGUUAUUACAAAAUAAAAUUAAUUUCGUUCGUCAUUCUUCCCUCCAAUUUUCUCAGCCACCAACACAACAAUUCAAUUACAAUCUCUUCAUCUUUUACUUUCCUGACCUCCAAUGUUGCAAGAUUUAGCAAAAUGUACCAUCGUUUAUUUUUAUUUAGAGAAAUAGUAAACUUGGGUCCUCUUUGAGUCUCCCAAAAUAUUAACCAAUUGGAACACAAAGAACAUAGGAGAACCAAAACCAAAUAUAAAAAGGAGAUUUUUUCAAAGGAAGAAUAGUCAAUGUCAGCAAGAGUAAUGAUGAUACGGAAAUAAUCACGAAUAUGGACUUAGUGAUACAAGUAUGAUCAUGAUCAUGACACUUUUGAGUAUUUUUAAAGACUAGUCACUAAAGGGCUCUUUUGUCAUUUUUCUAUUAUUUGUAGUGUUGUAUAAAUAGAACCUUGGAGGGUUUAUUUUCUUAGUUUAUGCAUGAUAUUGAAGACACUACUCUUGUAAGAGAGAGUUCUCAAAAUUGAAAUUAGGGUAUAGCAUAAAGGUGGAUUCUCUUGUGUGUUACAAAGCUUGAGACUUGGUGCUUUGAGAGGUGGAUGCCCCUCUUGUGUCAUUGUAAGAGUUAGGUAUUUGUUGUAUGAAGUGUUAAAAGUCCAAGAGUGAAUAUGCUCUUGGGUUGUUAGACUACAUCAACACUUGUCUAACUAUCUAUCUUUGUUUUUUGUCCUAAUCUUGUAGUUUGUGUUGUGGUUGCUCAAGUCGUUUGGUUAUUGUGGUUGUAACAUUGUUGUUCUUCAUUUUUAUUGUCAUAAUAUAAUUUGAUUUGUUGCUGGAAAUUAAGUGUUAAACACAUCAUUACAUGGUAUUCUUGUUGUGUUCUUGAAUCCGAUAGGGGUCACCAAAAGAGGUCCAUAGUUCCUUGAACUAGUGGACUGUUUUGGUCUUUGUUUUCUUGUGUUCUUGGGUUGUCUUGUAUCACUUAGGAGAGUAUGUGUUGGAUCCGAUCUUUGGCACGUGCAAAUAAAGUGUAAAAGAGGCCCAAAAUGCACCGAAAUCGGCCCAUAAAUUACACUAGAUGGGAGCCCACUCUUUGAAGGAUCUUUUGGUCAUUUUAACUUAUAUUUUGUAAUAGCUAUAAAAGGAACAUUGUAGGGUUUUUAGUUUAGUUUUUGGAUGAUAUUUGUGAGUCUUGUAAGACUUGUAACAAGCUCUCUCUAAUGAGAAGAGUGACCACCGAAACUAGGAUACAACAAUAGGGUGGAUUUUCUUUUGUUGUUGCUUGCUUGGAAGCGUUGAUGCUAGAGAGGUGAAAUCCAAUCUUGUGUCACGUAAGAGAUAGGUUUAUUGUUAUAUGUAGUGUUAAGGGUCCAAGAGUGUUCAUUCUUGGGUUCUUAAGAUUAUACCUUCAUGUAAUCUUGUUUAGUGUUUGUGUGGUAAUCUUGUGUUCUUGUUGUUAUUGUUAAAUCCGAAUUUUGUGUCUUAUUGUCCAUCAUCUUAUGUUGUUAAUUUAGUUUGUUGUCCGCUGAUUUGGUGUAAUAAACACCUUGUUAUCUUCUUGUUAUUGUGUUCUUGAGAAGCCGGGACUUGAUCUCCAAAAGAGUUCACAGAUUUCUUCCAUUUUGUGGAUUGUUUUUUGGGCUGAUUUUGGUGUUUCCUUGUUUGUCCUGUAUCAUUUGGUAUCAAAGUCAUCUUAGGUUUUGUUCUUACAAUACCAAUCUUAGGCUAACUUGCUAAGAAAAAAAAAAGAUGUGUUCUUGAGCUUGAGAUCUUGGCCGAGAAGUUGAAUUUGUUGUUGUAUCUUGACCGAAUGUUAUGUGUCUAGGUCUAGGAUUUAUUUUGCUUGUGUUGUUGUUUCAAGUGUUGGUAUUCUUUUCUAUUAACACUUUGAGUUGAUCUAAAUUUGAGUUUUAAAAAAAUUGAUGUUGUUGUUAUGAACAAGACCAUGGCCGUGUGUUGAAGUUGUUGUUCUUGGACGUGUGGACUUGUUGUUAUAGUCUUGGUUGGACGUUGUUGGUGUUUUUGUUGCUCUUGAUAAAGUUGUUGAGUUCUUGACAUUCAUCACAACCUACACCCUUGCUAAAAUCGAAAUACAACACCAAAAAGAACCUUGGCCGUGUGUUGACACUAAAAUUGGCCGUGAUAUAUGUUGAUGUUUACCGUGGGGUGGAAAUUGUUGCGAUGUUGUUGAUGUGUUCUUGAAGGUUGUUGUGGUGUUCAUCUUGUUCUUCAUCUCAUCUUACAACUUAAGACAACCAAAAGUGAAAUAUAGAUUCAAAAAGGUGAACCUACAAGUUGUAAAGUUGUUUGUGAGAAGACUUGAGUCGUCACUUUAUUGACUUGACAUCUACUUUUCAACCACUUUCCUUGUUUCAAGGGACCUUGUUUUGUGGGAAUUGUACAAAGUCAAGUCUUAUCUUUUGAAGAUUAGACUUAAAGGAGAUUUAAGACAUAUAAUUUCCCUCCAAAACCAAUUGUUUCCAUUACAUAGUAACUAAAGUUUGUAAACUUCAACUAGUGAAUAAUUAUGGGGUCGUGACCAAUGGUAUGCUGCCAUAUCACCUAAGUUACUAUUCACACAAAAUUUUAAGCUCAAAUUUUAAGCUCAAAAUUUGUUCUUCUAGUUUCAUUGUGUUGUUUCUUUAGUUUCGUUUGUUGAUUCCAUUACUAACUUACAAGCUAGUUUUAGAUUGUAAGUUAGUUUUAAAACUAUCCUUCGUGUAUAUGUACAAGUACCUUUGUGUGUCCAAUUCUUUUAAGUUGAUGUAAUACUUGAUCCACCUCUCACUGUCUCACGGAGUACAAGCAACGUUACGAAACUUGUGAGAUCAAAGCGAGAGAAAAAAAUCUAAGAGACAAAACAAUAGAGACGGAGUGUGAGGAUCAUUCUUGUACAACUAACUUAUUUGUUGUUUUAUAGGUAACUUCUUGGCCAUAAUGAAAACCAUUUUGGCCCUCCUAGAUGCUUUGUCCCGAGACCUUGCUAGGGCAAAUGCGGGUCUUGAAAAACUUGACUCGGAUAUGGUAACUAUGCAUGAGAAGUUGGAUCGAAUAGAGAGUCGAAGGAACUCUCGUGCUUUUACACUCGAAACUUUACUUCCAAUGACCAAUCCUCCAAGACCACCACAUAAUGCCACAAGCUAAGCUCCAAAUAGCCUUCAAAAUCGAGAACAAGAUAGACCACUUCCCCCGCAAGUUGAUCAAGUCCAACAAGGAGGACUUGGAAGACAAUUUCCUCUCAUCCAAGCUCCAUAACCGAAGCUCCACAUUACCAAAUCGAGCCUCUCAACCGAAACUUUCCUUUUAAAAAACCGACACAUCCAAGAAGAGGUAUAUGGUAGAGAGAGACAUGAAGGAUAUGAAGUCUCCUGAUAGAAGGAGACUUGAGUCAGAUGAGAUUGAAGGCCAAUCUCAAGAAGGAGAGGAAGCCGAGGAUCAAAAUGAAGAUCUUGGAUCCGAGACUUAUUGUCAUUAUGCUCUCGGGGUUUGGCUAGCUUGUGGACUAUUUUUGUGCAUUUCUUGUGGGCUGAUUUUAGCUCGUAUCUUGAUACGUCCCUUGUUAUUAUUGAGCUCUCGGACUCUUUAUGUUUUGCGGACUAAUUUUUAGUAGGUUUCCUUUGAAGUGACCAAUUAAAUGAGGUGAAGCCAUGAAUUUGUGGACAAAUUCCUCUCAAGAUGGAGAGGAUGAUAUAGAUUUAGGAGAGUACGUGUUGGACCCGAGCCUUGGCACAUGCAAAUAAAGUGUAAAAAAAGCCCAAAAUACACCCAAAUCAGCCCAUAAAUUACACUAGAUGAGUGCCUACUCUUUGAAGGGCCUUUUGGUCAUUUUAACUUAUAUUUUGUAAUAGCUAUAAAAGAAAUAUUGUAGGGUUUUUAGUUUAAUUUUUGAAUGAUAUUUGUAAGUCUUGUAAGACUUGUAACAAGCUCUCUCUCUAAUGAGAAGAGUGACCACCGAAACUAGGAUACAACAAUAAGGUGGAUUCUCUUUUGUUGUUACUAGCUUGGAAGCGUUGAUGCUAGAGAGGUGAAAUCCGAUCUUGUGUCAUGUAAGAGAUAGGUUUAUUGUUGUGUGUAGUGUUAAGGGUCCAAGAGUGUCCAUUCUUGGGUUCUUAAGAUUAUACCUUCAUGUGGUCUAUCUAUCUAUCCUUUUACCUUCUUGUAAUCUUGUUUAGUGUUUGUGCUAUAAUCUUGUGUUCUUGUUGUUAUUGUUAAAUCCGAAUUUUGUGUCUUCUUGUUCAACAUCUUAUGUUGUUAAUCUAGUUUGUUGUCCACUAAUUUGGUGUAAUAAAUACCUUGUUAUCUUCUUGUUAUUGUGUUCUUGGGAAGCCGGGACUUGGUCUCCAAAAAGGUUCAUAGAAUUCUUCCAUUUUGUGGACUGAUUUUGGUGUUCCCUUGUUUGUCCUGUAUCAAGUGAUAACCAUGAUGAUACGUAUAAGUUAAAGAUAACAGCAAGUUGUAUUCUUUUUUUCCCCCUCAAUACCUUGAUAAGUCUUUCUUUCUUCACCUUUUUAAAGAAAAUAGAUAAGAUAUAUCUUUCACUUGAUCUUAACCAAAAGGCCAACCACCAGAGUUGGCAUAGUGGUUCAGCGCUGUGUCCCUUAAGCAAGAGGUCGGGGGUUCGAUUCCCGCUCUGGCAAAUAAAGCAAACUCUGUGGUUAGUUCGCAACCGCAAAAUGCACUGACCGAGGAACGGAGGAUUAGUUUUAUUAAGAUAUACGUUUCACAACUUGUGUAUAUAUAACAAAAUUGCUAUUGUAAAUACAAAUGUUUUAUUAAGGUUUUUAGUGUUAGGUGAAAACACUAUUUUGUUUAUUACGGAGAUUUUUAAUGAAAGACAAAAAUUUCAGAUCACUUUUCAAGUCUUCACACUUUUAAUAUAGAAAAGACUAUUCACUUUAUUUUUAUCUCAAUAGUUUUUUUUAAUGUAAGUAUGACUUUGAUAAAAGUCAAAGUCAUACUUACGCCUUAAUAAAAAGCAGAACUAAUAUGAAUAAAACAUAAAAUUUAGAAUAGAAAAAACAUACCUUAAAUUCACUUGUAAUCGAUAUCUUGUAAUCAAUACGAAGUUUUGUCCGCAUGCUUCACAUAAAUCUUGCUUCAUCUGCACAAACAUAUUAAAGAAUCAAUCAAUAAUGAUUUAUUUACGAAGGCAAAUACAAAGAAUAAAAGAUUAUGAAGAUCUUCAAUUUUGUUAAGCCUAAUUUAAAGUAACAAUAAAAAAAGACGAACUUAUUUUGAAGGUAAAUUUAAACAAAAAAGACAUCAAAUAUAGAAGCUUAAAACCCCAGACGAACUUAUUUGCGAUAAAAAAACGUUGAAAAAGGUAAAAAGAAUUUAAUGUAAUUCUUUACAUAUAUUAUUUUAGGAAUGUUAAUUUAUAUUCAUAUAUUUUAGGAUUCAUAAAUAUUUUAGGAUUCAUAUAGUUUAUGUUUUUUAAUAUUCUUAAUCCUUCCAUAUAUUUAUUUUAUCAAGAUUUUCCCAUAUAUUUUUGGAGUGCUUGAUUUAAUAAUAUAAUAAUUGGAGGAAAUAGGUGAAAAGACGAUUUUAUCUAUUGCAAAGUAUUUUAAUGAAGGGCAAAAAGUUUGAAUCACUUUUCUAAUGAUCUUCACACUUUUAAUAUAUUAUANNNNNNNNNNNNNNNNNNNNNNNNNNNNNNNNNNNNNNNNNNNUGUCUGUAGAUACGUAUGAAUAAGGUAGACUAUCAAAGAAAUAUUAUCGUAGGAGAUAAAACAUAAUUUCAUUUUUUUAGGAUUAAAAUCACACUCAAACUUGAGUUUCGUGGGUGUUUGAAUUGGCUUAUUUUUAGGUAUUUUUAACUUUUAAUCAUUUUUUUAGUUUUCGUGAUGUUUGGGAAAGUUAAAAAGUACUUUUAAACACUUAAUUUUAAGUCAAAAGAUGUCAAAAUAAACCAAAAGUCAAAAGUAGGAUAGUACCAACUUAUGGCUUUUGACUUUUAGCUUAUAAGCGGAGAAUUAUUAAAAGUCUAUCCAAACACCCCCUUAUUUUUUAAUGUAAAAUAAAUUCAUAAAAACAACAUAACAUACAUGACCAAAAAAUAUGCACAAUAAAAGUUAAAUGAAAAAAUAAAUUAUAUUACCCUACCAUUGUUGGUACUAAAACAAUCCAAUUUAGCCAUUGUAAAUAAACUAUCAAUUUUUGACAUCAUGAUCGAACUGUCAUCAUCUUCAGGCAAACAAAGUGAUGCCCUCAACACUAACAAUAAAUUUGAAUCUUUAAAUGAACAGAUUCCUGAAGAUGAACAGAGCACAGAGCAUUAUAGUGCAUACCAAGGUAUUACUACAUACACAGAUGGAACUAGAGAAUGGGUAGAGAAGACUUUUCAUAGUAAUGCAGCAGUAGUGCACAGUCAAGAGCAGCAUGUCAAGACAUGCAGCAACACAAUUAAUCAACAGAGGGAGUAUCAUAAUAAAGUGCAAGUUGAUAAGGUAUGCAUAAAGUCACAAUAAGUGCAGGAAGAGCAAUUCAAUAAAGACAAGGUGGAAAAAGAAAAUGUGAAUAUUAUGAUAGCAAAGCAGGCAGAAUCAGUUAGUACACUGGCAAUAGUUGAACAUAAGGUGGCUAUAGAAGAAGAGAAGAAUGAGGAGAAGCAACAGUUAAAUGCAAGUAAUUGCAGAAAUAAUAAAGAGCAGGUGGUACAGAUGGAUUUACAAAAUCAAUUAGAAAAUGCCAUUAUCAAGAACCUUAGUAGAUUGAUACCUCAUUGGAAAAGAUUGAGAUGCUGGGAUCAUAUCUAAAGGAAUCUGACAGUUUGCUGAUGUUGGAGAUGAUAGGCUUAAAGAAGAGAGGAAAACAAGAUGUUGUCAUUCAUCUUUAAAAUCAAGUCCUGUAAAAGUCUUGCAUGAUAUUGUAUCACAUCAGAUAGUUGAUAAAGAGAACCAGCAAGCGGGAUGCAAUAUCCAACCUGUUGAAGACAAGAAAGAGGUUAAUAAUAAGACAAAUGCUCAUCAAGUUUUUAAAGAAGCUGGUUUAUCAACUAUUAACUAUUGCUAAGAGUAACAACACCAGGAGUAAGGGUGAUACAGUACCAAAGAGGUCGAAUCCAAAGAGAAAUACUAAGGCUGUUCAGAAAUGAGUCUAAAAACAUUAUUUUGGAAUGUGAGGUCUGUAAAGACUCAAAAUUCAUUCCAUAGAAGUCAGAUGUUGAAUAAGCAUCAUAAGUUUUCUAUAAUAGCUUUGAUGGAGCCUUUUCAGAAUGUGAUGUAGAUUCAAAGAUACAAGAGAAGAUUAGGCAUGCCUUAUACAAAUUACAAUCAAAAUGGUAAGAUCUGGGUAUUUAUUCAGGAACACAUUCAUGUGGAUGCUAUUCUUGAUGCUGAACAACAUUUGACAUUAAGGCUAUUGUUUUUAGAAUCUGGUCAAUCAAUUUUACUUAAAGUGAUAUAUGCCAAAUGUGAUGCACAAGGAAGAAUGGCAUUAUGGGAUGAUUUGUAUACUUUGAAUUUGGAAAUGCAACUGCCUUGGUUGAUUGGUGGUGAUUUUAAUGUCAUUCUAAGUAAUGAAGAGAAGAUAAGAGGACUGCCUGUAUAUCCUCAAGAAUAUGAGAAUUUUGCUUUCUGUGUGAAUUCUUGGGAUCUUGUUGACGUCAAAUUUAAGGGUAUUUACUUGGUGGAAUGGUAGAAUAGAUGAUGAUUUUAUUUUCCAAAGGUUGGACAGAAUUUUGGUGAAUCAGUCCUUCUUGGGUUGGUUUGGGUUAAUAGAAUCAGAACAUUUAGCUAGAACUGGAUCAGAUCAUGCCCCAUUGCUAUUGUCUUAUGGGAGUCAGUCCUAUAGCUAUUAACAAGCCUUUUAGAUUUCUUAAAUUCUGGUCAGAAAAGGAAGAUUUCAAAAAGGUGAUCAGAGAUAAUUGGAUAGCAAGUGAUGUCAGUGACAUUUUUGUGAGUCUAAAGCAAAAAUUAAAAAGAACAAAGUUGGCUUUAUCUGGUUGGAGCAAAAAUAAUUUUAGAGAUAUUUUCAAGCAGCUGAUAAAUUAGAGAGGAAAUUGUGACAAUGAAAGAGAAAUUAUUUGAAGCUGAUCCAUCAGCUUUAAACAGGAUGGUUCUUCAUAAAGCACAAGCUAGGCUGAAGAAAUAUGUUCAUUAUGAGGAAGAAUUCUGGAGGCAAAAAGCUGGUAUCAAGUGAUUUACUGAAGGGGAAAAGAAUACAAGAUUUUUUCAGUCUUGUUAAUGGAAGAGGGAAGAAGAAGAUUAUUUAUCAAUAGAAUCAAAAAUAUAAAUAGGGAGUAUGGGUUGAAGGGUUUGAUCAAGUGGCUGGUGCUGCUGUGGAUUUCUAUCAAGAACAGUUCACAGAAACUCAGACUACUGCUGAAUAAUCACUGCUGAAGUUUAUUCCUAGUUUGGUAUCUAUUGAUUCAAAUAGGGCUAUUAAUGCUCUGUCAUCCAGAGAGAGGUUGAAAAAGUUGUAUUUGAACUUAAUGGUGAUAGUGCUUCUGGCCCGGAUGAAUUUUCUGGUUUAUUUUUUCAAAAAUGCUGGGAUAAUAUUGGGAAAGAUGUGUACAGAGUGGUUAUUGCAUUUUUUCAAGGUUAUACUCUUCCUAAAUCCAUCACUCAUACUAAUUUGGUGUUAUUGCCUAUAAAAGAUAUCACAAUCUUUUUCAGACAUGAGACCAAUUAGUUUGAGUAAUUUUCUAAACAAGGUGAUUUCAAGGAUUCUUCAUGAUAGAUUAGAAGACAUUUUGCCUAAUGUUAUAUCAAAGAAUCAAUCUUAUUUUGUGAAAGGGAAGAACAUUACUGAAAAUGUUCUGUUAGCUCAGGAGAUUAUUAUAGAUAUUGGGAAAAGAGAAAAACCUGCAAAUGUAGUUAUCAAACUGGACAUGGCCAAGGCUUAUGAUAGAGUAAGCUGGAAUUUUUUGGUCAAAGUGCUUCAAAAUAUGGGUUUUGAUAAUGAGAUGGUUGAUAAGAUUUGGAGACUACUGGCUAAUAAUUGGUACUCUGUGCUAAUAAAUGGUCAGGCAUAUGGUUUCUUUUAUUCCACUAGGAGGGUGAAGCAAGGGGAUCCUUUAUCACCUACUUUAUUCAUUUAUCUACAGAAGUUCUUUCUGGAGCUCUGAAUUCAUUAUAUAUGGAAAGUGGUUAUAAAGGUUUUGGUCUACCAAAAUGGAGUGAUGCUAUUAAUCAUCUUGCUUAUGCAGAUAAGGAUGCUUUGAAGCUUCUAAUGGGGAUGAUCAGGAGAUAUGAAGAGCAAUCUAGACAAUUGAUAAACAAAGAGAAGAGUUCAUUCUAUAUGUAUCAUAAAGCUGCUCAUUAACACAUUAGGAAGGUGGAAGAAUGCACAGGUUUUUCUAAAGGGAAGUUUCCAUUGAUGUAUUUGGGAUGUCCUAUAGGGCAUGCAAGGAAAAGAAAGGUGCACUUCUCUAAUUUGAUGAAGGAAGUUCAAGGAAAGUUGCAAGCAUGGAAAGGAAAGAUGUUAUCAUUUGGUGGUAAAGCUAUUUUAAUUAAUAGUGUUCUAUCAAGUAUACCCAUUUAUUUAUUAUCUGUCAUUAAUCCUCCUAAGUGUGUUAUUCAUGAUUUACAUAGAAUUUUUGCUAGAUUUCUAUGGAAUUUUAAAGAAGUAGGCAGAAAUAAGCAUUGGGUGGCUUGGGAUGAUAUUUGCAGUCCUAAAGAUGAAGGGGGGUUGGGUUUUAGAUCGUUAUUUGAUGUUUUUAAAGCCAUGUUUGCUAAUCUAUGGUGGAUUUUUAGAACACAAAAAUCUUUAUGGACCAAUUUCAUGUGGACUAAAUAUUGUAGAAAGUGUAACGACCCUCCUGGCCAUUUGCGAAAUUUUCUCAUCUUUCCUAUUUUAGCUCUCUCCGUAGUUAGUGUACGUGAAUUAUGACUCACGGGAUGAGUAGUACAAUUCUUGAGAUGUUCGAAAGUAAUUGAAGUCAUUAGUUGGAUUAUUAAGUUUUAAUAAAUUUAAUUUUGAUCACGGUCAACCUUUUAUCAAGACGACCUCAAUAUAUUAUUUUAAUAUUUUCAAUAGAUUUGAAAUGUACUUUUAGUUAGCUUACAUAUUUAAUUUAUUUCUACGGGGUUUCGAAUGAGUUUUGAGAAUAUAUUAAGAGUUUCGAAUAUUUUAAAUAAUUAAUUUAAUUGAUGCUCUGAAAAAAAAUGCUAUAAAUUAAAUUAAUAGUGGGUCAUACCCACAACUCCCUUAUUUUUUAUUAUGGAUGAAAUUAGGGUAAUAUAUCAUCGGACUAGUAGUUAUUCAUAGCUUAUUUAAAGAGACCAAAAAGAAAAAGGGAGGAGGCGCAGAGGGGAAAGAAAUAGCGCACAUUAAAUGCUUUGAGUCGACUGAUACAGGUGAGAAUAUUUCACUAUUUCACUGUUGCAUGCUUUAAGAUAUAUGUAGAUGGAGAGAGUAAUAACUGGAUAGGUCAGCAACAUUAAGGGGUAAAGGAAUAUGUAAACAGAGGGUAUUUCCUUUGAGAAUUUUAAUCGAAAUUAGUAAUAUAAUACAAAUAAAUUAUUUAGUGGAUAGUGCUAGCAAUCAUUAAUGGUAAAGUAGGCAUGAUGAGCCAAUCGGUUUCAAUGUAGAAACAGUCAAUUAUUUUCUUAUGUUAAUUGAAGACUACGAAUUGCAAUAUUAGUUGUUUAAUACAUUUAUAUUGUAAUUGUUCCAUGUUUUGGAAUUAAAAAAUUGAGGUUUAGGUCUAAGAUUUUUAGAGUAAGAAUUUAUAAAUUGAUGUCAUUAAAUUCGUACUUUUAUGAGAAUUAUAUAUUUGAACAGAUUUAAAACACUCGAAGGUUUUACGGAAGGGCAAGACCCUUGCAAAGUAGCUUACAUUCGGUUUUCUCAAUUGAAGUAGGUUACGGUUUAAUUGGAGUUUAGACUCGAUUUAAUUGUGUGUAUGCUCCUAAAUUGAAUACUUGUGGAUUGGUAUUCGUACAUGUUUGAAAUUAUUGAUAUUUGGAUUGUUGAUUCGUGUAUAAAUAUUUAUUAAAAAUUGACUUGAUGGAAUUUUCUCAUGACUUUAAGUGUACUUGUAAUCUUGAAACAUCGUGUUGUAUGUUGUGAGGUUGUGUAAAUUGAUAUUGAUAAUACUUAUUUAUGUUUAUGUUGGAUCGGGUACCACACUGGUACGUUUACAUUUAUGUGGAUCGGGUACCACGCCAGUACGUUUACAUUUAUAUUGGAUCGAGUACCACGCCGGUACGUUUACAUUUAUAUUGGAUCGGAUACCACGCCGGUACGUCUCUAUUUAUGUUGGAUCGGGUACCACGCCGGUAUGGAUAUGUAUAUGUUGGAUCGGGUACCACGCCGGUACGGUACAUGAACAUAGAUUGUUCCCUGUAGGUCAUGACUAUUUGGGCAAAAAUAAGUCCCAUAGCAUGUGUGUACAUAUUUGUGUUGAUUCUGUGGAUGUUUACAUUAUGGUUGAUACUCUUGAUGGUUAUGUGGCUUGUUUGUGAGCACUGUUUGACAUAUUGUUGUUGCUGGAUUGUUGAUUUAUUGAAUAUUUGUUGUGUGACGAUGUUUGUCUACUCGUUAUUUGAUUUAUGUUGUGUACAUGCUAUUAAAUUGAGUUGACCUAUGAUACCUACCAGUACAUAGUGGUUUGUACUGAUACUACCCUGUAAUCUUCUUUUGUUGAGUGCAGAAAGUGUUCUAGGCUCAGACAUGACCUCACCUCUAGAGUUUGAUAGCAGAUCUUGAUCCAAGGAUGAGCACUCUGUCUCCAGGCUGCCAUGGGUCAUCUUAUUUGUUCUUGUCCAUCUUUCGGGGAAUGGAACAUUCUUUAUUUAUGGAUAUCACUUCAGAUAUGAUCCUUGUUAGUAGUUCUCGUACGAUGACUUUAGGGUCUUGGGAAUUUUAGUAAGUAGUUUGUUUGACUUCUGAAUUAAUAAUGAUUAGUCCUGGAUUAUUGUUAUUAUGUUAAAUUCUACAAUAAUAUCAUCUUAAUAUUGACUAAGUGUUUGGAUCAUGAUUCGGUUUAGACGGUUCUCCCACAGAAGGAUUAGUGUGGGUGCCACUCAUGGCCAUUUGGGUCGUAACAGUUAGACCUUAACUAGUGGAGUGGAGGGGUGGUUCUUUAAUAUGGAAAUACAUGCUUGAAGCUAGGGACAUGUUUGAUCAACAAAUAUGGUGGAACCUAAAUGUGGUCAUUCAAGUGUUUGAUAUGAUAAUUGGACACAGUUGGGGGCAUUACAUUACUUACUUCCUAUUGAUUUAUACAGGAAUUAUCAGCUAGAAGAAGUGAGUCAAUGUUUUAGUAAUGAAGAAUGGAAUUCUGAUCUCCUGCAGUUAAAUUCUGGGAAUGAAACAUGUAAUCAUGUUGUGCAGAAUGUGAAGUGCAAACAAGAGAAUGAAAAUUGGGAUAAAGCAUGGUGGAUGUUGAAUGUUUCUUGAAAUUUCAGAGUUAGAUCUGCCUGGGACUUUGUGAGAAAUAAAAAAGAGAGUUUUUUGAUCUAUAAAAGAAUAUGGAUGAAGGGAAUUCCUUUUAAGGUUUCAUUAUUCAUUUGGUGAUUGUGGAAGAAAAGAUUACCAGUGGGUAAAGUUUUGGUCAAAACUGGUAUUUGUGAAGAGGCUCGCUGUUGUUGCUGUGAUAGUGGAAUUGAUGAAACUUUUGAGCAUCUAUUUAUGACAUGUUCUAAGGCUAAUGAUAUAUGGGUUUAUUUUGCAGCAUGUGAAGGUAUUAAAGGUCCCUUCUUACAAAUAAAGGAUAGUGUAUUUAAAUGGUGGAAUGCGUCCAAAAGUGCAAAGUUAAAUUCUAUUUUUAAGGCUAUUCCUAGGUUUAUUUUGUUUUUGUGGCAGAUUUGGAAAGGUAGAAAUGUUAUUAAACAUGGAGGUAAGAUGACAUUAUGGAGCAUAAAAAGAGAAAUAACUAGAAAUUUAGUGUUGUUGACUAAAACACUAUAUCCCUCGUUUAUAUCUAUUCUAGAAUCAUGGUCGGAAUUACUGAGUUUUCUUCAAAAUUAUUCUCCUAGACUUGCUUGUUCUGUGGUGUAAUGGUCAGCUCCUAGAGCUGGUUGUUUUAAAUGCAAUAGUGAUGGGACUUCUAAAGGGAAUCCUGAUUUCAGUUCUAGUGCUUACUGUAUUAGAGAUGAUCAAGGAAAUCUGGUGUUUGCAAAAUGUAGAAGUAUUGGGGUGUCUAAAAAUUUAAUGGCUGGGGUAAUGGCUAUGAGAUUGGGCUUGGAAUACUGUGCUGAUCACAAUCUAUUUUCUUGAUUUUAGAGACUGAUUCUUUGGCUGUUAAGAAUUUUGUAGAAGGAAAUUGGGAGAUUCCUUGGUUAAUAUCUAUGGAAAUAAGAAGAAUUCAGGAGUUAAUGAAAGGGGUGCAGGUGGUCCUGAAUCAUAUCUACAGGAAGGGCAACAAAGUCGCUGAUUUUAUUGCUAACAAAAUUUUUGUUUUUGCAGGAACAGAAAGAUUAACUUUUUCAACUUAUCAGCAAUUACCAAAGGAAGCUAAAGUUCUACUGAACAUGGAUAAAUUUCAGGUCCCAAAUUUCAGAUUUAGAAACAUGCAAAAUGGGGAAUAUCAUCUGGAUAGCCGAUUAUGAAAGCAGAAUUCAUUUUCAAUAAACCACAACAACAGUUACGCAGGUUAUGCAAUUUUAAGUUGGUUGAUAGCAAAGCAUACAUCACUUGCGAAAAUAACAGACGAUAACUACAAUAUGUGAUAAUUACAAUUGUACGGAGGAUUUACCUGAUUUAUUUGGAAUAAUACUUGAUUUGGGUUUUAGGACAGUGGUAUUAGCUCCUUCGCUGAGCUCAACCUGUUAAAAAUUCAAAAUGAGUAAUAAUCUUGGAUAAAUCAAGUAAAAGGAAAAAGGAAAAUGGAAUAAAUUUAUCUGAGGAGAAAAGUAUAGAUCUGUGAUGAGUGAGAUGGAGAAGUCUCCGGUUGAGUGAUUUCAUGGCAUUUGUGAGAAUUUAAAAUGCCCAAGAUGAAAUGCACUCAAAGCUCAUGGAUUUACACUUCCAAAAUCCAAAAGGAGAAGGAUAUUUCCAACUCAAUGUUGUUAUCUAUUCAAGAUGCGAAAUUAAGAAGAGAAUUAUACAAGCUCAGAAUAAUCUCAUCAUUGCUUUUAGAAGAAACCGAAGAGCUUAGGUUGGAAUUUCAUCGGAGAUAUCGGAGUGUUGUAACAUGGAUGAAGACGCAGUAAAGGAAAGACACUGUCCACUUUCCUAUUUGGUCAUUUUGUUUUGUUGUGCAUAUGUAUUCGGGUCUAGGCCACUUAAUGGGCCAAUAUUUUGUACAAAUUUUGUUGAAAAUCAAUAGAAGGCCAUGUUGGCCUAUUUAAAUUUUUCUAAAAAAAAUUAAGAAAAUAUGAGUGUAACCUUUUGUCGCAAAAAAAAAUCUUCAUGAGUAGAUAUGAUUUAUACUUAAAAUAUGUUGUUAUACCAUUAAUGACCCUAAAAUGUAACAAUCUUUUUUAUGUCAUAGUGAUUGUUAAUUCUAAAUAAGAAAAGUCCCUUUAGAGUAACGAAGAUGGUGAAAGAAGAGGAUCUCAAACCAUCUCCAACAUUAUUAGUAAUAUAUGAAAGUGUCGACGUAAUUUUAUAAGUCUCAAGCACCUGCCAAUCACCAUGGUAUGUCAUCAUCAAAAAUACCCAUUUGACUGUUUGUAGAUUUUUUGAAAUCUCAUAUUAGAAAUUAACUAAGUGCACCCACACUCACUCACUGAUGGAGGAAUGCAUCUAUUCUUGGUAGUAAGUUUAAUUGCAAUAAAACUAUGUGAGCAUCUAAAGUACAUAUCAAAUGGGGAGAUUGAAACUCUAAUUAUAUCGACAGAAAGUGAAAAUAUUGAAUUUAAAAUAAAAAAUUAUUAAUAGAAACUAGAAAAGAUUGCGCGUACAUUUAAUAAUGAAACGACCAUUAUUAUAACACUGUAUAGUUGAUCUUUUGUAUUAUGUAAUGGAAUGACCAUUAUACUAUAACAUUGUAUAUUAGAUAAUUCAUAAGUAAAAAAUGUGUUGGAUAUUUCCAGAAGGUAUAAGAGUAUGUGGAAUGCAAGUUUAAUGACGUGAGGCGGGAGAAUGAGGUAGUAGUGAAACUGGAAGCACAGGAGGUAUGUAAGAGGGAUAAUUUCAAGUAUCUUGGGUCCGUGAUCCAGAGUAACGGUGAGAUUGACGAGGAUGUCUCGCACCGUAUUGGGGCGGGAUGGAUGAAGUAGAAGCUCGUGUCGGGGGUGCUGUGUGAUAAGAAGGUGCCGCCCAAGCUUAAAGGCAAAUUCUACAGGGUGGUAGUCCGUCCGGCCUUGUUGUAUGGAGCGGAGUGUUGGCCAUUUAAGCCCACAUCCAAAAAAUGAAGGUGGCAGAAAUGCGGAUGUUGCGCUGGAUGUGUGGGCUGACUAGAGGGGAUAGAGUUCGGAAUGAGACUAUCCGGGAGAAGGUUGGUGUGACUUCAGUGGAAUGCAAGAUGCGGGACGCACGAUUGAGAUGGUUCGGACGCGUGAAGAGGAGGGGNNNNNNNNNNNNNNNNNNNNNNNNNNNNNNNNNNNNNNNGCAUAAGGGUAGUGGGGUGAGUGGAUUAGGCAGUACAUGGAACAGUUACAGCUCACCGAGGACAUAACCCUAGAUAGGAAGGUCUGGAGGACGCGAAUUACGGCAGAGGACUAGGGCCAGUUUGGGUCACUAGUAUAGGGAAUUACUUGGUGGGGGUUUUAUUCCUGUUAUGAUUCCGUGUUCCGUGUUCCAUGUUUCAUUACGAAUCUGUGUGCUUUCCUCUGCUCUCCUCUGUUUUAUAUUACUUAUGGGUGUCGUAUUUAUGUUAUGUAAUCUGCUUCUGUGCUUUACUAUGUGUUUGUGUGGUAUCUCGUGCCUUGAGCCGGGGGUCUAUCGGAAACAGUCUUUCUACUUCUUCAGAGGUAGAGGUAUGGACUGCGUACAUCUUAACCCCCCAGACCCCACUAGGUGGGAAUACACUGGGUUUGUUGUUGUUGUUGUUGU